RNAcentral lists this small nuclear RNA (103 nucleotides) under Moschus moschiferus (Siberian musk deer). Lineage: Eukaryota; Metazoa; Chordata; Mammalia; Artiodactyla; Moschidae. The record is from RNAcentral.
UUGCUUCAGCAGCAUAUAUACUAAAAUUGAAAUGAGGCAGAGAAGAUUAGCAUGGCCCCUGUGCAAGGAUAACAUGGAAACUCCUGAAGUGUUCCAAAUUAUU